CAGUAGCCGCGGGAAUACGUAGGGUGCGAGCGUUAAUCGGAAUUACUGGGCGUAAAGCGUGCGCAGGCGGUUCGUUAAGACAGAUGUGAAAUCCCCGGGCUUAACCUGGGGACUGCAUUUGUGACUGGCGAGCUAGAGUAUGGCAGAGGGGGGUAGAAUUCCACGUGUAGCAGUGAAAUGCGUAGAGAUGUGGAGGAAUACCGAUGGCGAAGGCAGCCCCCUGGGCCAAUACUGACGCUCAUGCACGAAAGCGUGGGGAGCAAACAGGAUUAGAUACCCGUGUAGUCCCUGUCUCUUAUAA
RNAcentral lists this ribosomal RNA (301 nucleotides) under uncultured bacterium. RNAcentral's name for it is "partial 16S ribosomal RNA". It matches the Rfam family "Bacterial small subunit ribosomal RNA", at positions 509 to 809 of the family's 1533-position model. The record is from RNAcentral.